Strigops habroptila (Kakapo) is the source of this 1084-nucleotide long non-coding RNA. RefSeq lists it as uncharacterized. The transcript has 2 exons. The record is from RefSeq and is a predicted model, not a curated record. Lineage: Eukaryota; Metazoa; Chordata; Aves; Psittaciformes; Psittacidae.
CUGAAGGCCAUAACUAUGAACAUGACCCUUCUGUAGCAGGGCUUGGAGCAGCUAUGCAAUUGCCUGGAAAGUACCAGAGCAAGCCAAAUAUAUAGCAGAUCUGAAAUGCGCUGCAAGAUGUGAUGCAGACAUUUUUUCUAUAAGACCACAAGUGGAGAAAGACUGCACUAAAAGCCAUUCUCCCUGCCAACCAGAUAAGCACAGUUCAACAGAUAAAACUUAGCAGCUGCGGCGUUCAGAGUGCAUUCCCCCCACAGUAGCAAUGAAUUGCUAAAACUGGAGCAUUUGGAAUGUCUGAACAGUCACAUUUUACCAUUAACUUCUUAUCACUAUUGAAAAUCCUGGAGCUGGGCACCUGUUUACCCCAUCUUCUGGACCUUCAGGAUACUCAGACUUAUCCAAUCUACAACAAGACCUCAGCUUGGACGCAUCGGGCAAUGAACCAUAUGUUCAAACACAGCAAUGAUUUUAAAAUCUUACAACAUGGAGAGAUUCAGAGUUGCUUUGCAGGAAAAUUAACAGCCAAGCUUCUGCAAUAUUAGUCUAGAGUCAGCUUAUGAUCGAAACAGAUGUAACUAAAAGCCUGACACUCAAAAAGCUCUAUUUUAAAGACAGCUUAAUCCUCUCGGCACCUUCCUCUUGGAUCUGACACUCAAGUUACAGGGUCAACCUCUUGGCUCCUAUUCAGAAGGCUUUUUGCUGUACUCCUGUAACCCUCAGCAGAGGACUGGCCCUGGAAGGCAUCAGGGCCCACAUGGUUUGCAUUAGCUUUUGCCACAAUGGAAGGAGUAUUACACCUUCAGACAUCUGUGUAGUUCAAGUAAUUAAACAGGGGCAUUAUAAACACAUAACAUUUUAGUUAAAGGGCAACAAAACACUUGGAAAAGCAGCAGCUGAUUUCAACAAGAACAACUGCAAAUUCCUAUGCUGCUUUUGUGGCUUGAGCCUGUUUUAGAUGCGAAUAGCUAGACCUGUUAAAAAGCAAUCCUAAGCAGUGAUCUCUACUUUUUCAGUAAACAAUACCAGAUUAACUACGCAGAGCUCUCUGUCCUAAUUUUUGUGUCAUCAGUCAAGACAAACCCAG